RNAcentral lists this ribosomal RNA (589 nucleotides) under uncultured bacterium. Its description in RNAcentral is "bacterial SSU rRNA". It matches the Rfam family "Bacterial small subunit ribosomal RNA", at positions 337 to 917 of the family's 1533-position model. The record is from RNAcentral.
UCCUACGGGAGGCAGCAGUGGGGAAUAUUGGACAAUGGGCGCAAGCCUGAUCCGGCCAUACCGCGUGGGUGAAGAAGGCCUUCGGGUUGUAAAGCCCUUUUGUUGGGAAAGAAAAGCGAUCGGUUAAUACCCGGUUGUUCUGACGGUACCCAAAGAAUAAGCACCGGCUAACUUCGUGCCAGCAGCCGCGGUAAUACGAAGGGUGCAAGCGUUACUUGGAAUUACUGGGCGUAAAGCGUGCGUAGGUGGUGGUUUAAGUCCGUUGUGAAAGCCCUGGGCUCAACCUGGGAAUUGCAGUGGAUACUGGGUCACUAGAGUGUGGUAGAGGAUAGUGGAAUUUCCGGUGUAGCAGUGAAAUGCGUAGAGAUCGGAAGGAACAUCUGUGGCGAAGGCGACUAUCUGGGCCAACACUGACACUGAGGCACGAAAGCGUGGGGAGCAAACAGGAUUAGAUACCCUGGUAGUCCACGCCCUAAACGAUGCGAACUAGAUGUUGGGUUCAACUUGGAACCCAGUAUCGAAGCUAACGCGUUAAGUUCGCCGCCUGGGGAGUACGGUCGCAAGACUGAAACUCAAAUGAAUUGACGGA